Molecule: ribosomal RNA, 1308 nt
Filed under: Triticum aestivum (bread wheat)
Lineage: Eukaryota; Viridiplantae; Streptophyta; Magnoliopsida; Poales; Poaceae
Description: partial small subunit ribosomal RNA
Source: RNAcentral
GUGCAGCCACCUAACAUUGAACCUUACGUUCUGCCAAGACUAGAGAUGCGCUAUGAAACUUUCGAAGAAGCAAAGAACUUCUACAACGUCUAUGCGAAGCACGCGGGUUUUGCUGUCAAGGAGGGCCCCAAGUUUAAGACCAGAGCCUACAUUUAUUGCACGUGGUAUGGAGUCUAUGAAUCAAAGGUGUCUGAAGUAGAUAGACAGCGGAACAAGACGACAGCCAGGACUAACCGCGGGGCUAAAAUGAGGCUGAAGAAGGAAAAGGAUGGAACAUUUGUCGUAAACAGAGUCUGGGAACACAACCACAUGCUACAGCUCACUCCGCAAAUGCUUGUCUUCUUGCACUCCCACAAAAACUUUGACAAAACAAUCUUGGAAUACGUCAAGUACCUGCAGUUCAAAGGCAUUGAACACGUGCAAAUCAUGAGCAUACUGGGUGGUGAUGACCCUGGUAGCUACUUCCUCGAAAUGAAUGCCAAAGACCUGAUUAACCUGAAAGCAAAGAAUUCAUGGAUGGAUGAUGUGGACGAUGUCCUAAAGACUGUCAGCUUCUUUAGGGAGAUGAAAUCUAUAAACAGGGAAUUCUUCUGUGACAUGCAACUCGAUGAGUCCGACAGAGUUAAGAACAUAUUCUGGGCGAACGCAAGCUGCCGAGGGGCCUAUCAGGACUUUGGUGACUGCGUAACAUUUGACACCACAUAUAAGACCUAGAAGUACCAUAUGCCACUUGGGGUGUUUGUCGGUACUAACAACCACUUACAGACUACAUUCUUUGGUUUCGCCCUGAUAAGAGACGAGGAUGCAGAUUCAUUCAGAUGGCUGUUCAAGACAUUUUUAAGGUGCAUGAGAGGGAAGGCUCCUACAUGCAUCCUCACAGACCAGUGCCUGGCAAUGUCUUCAGCGACCCCAGAUGCUUUCAAGAACACAGUACACAAGCUGUGCCGCUGGCACAUUAGGAAGAAGUACAAGGAACACCUCGCAUACCUGUACUACCUGCACAAAGACUUUAAGGAUGAAUUCACAUCAACCCUCAACUGGCCCCUCAUGCCAACUGAGUUCGAGGAUGCCUGGAAAGGACUCGUGGAUAGGUACAACCUCCAUGAUGAUGCCACGAUGGUGGCCAUGUGGAACGAGCGUGAGAAAUGGAUAUCAGCCUACUUCAAAGAAAUUUUCUGCGCCAAAAUGACAUCGACACAACGAAGUGAGAGCAUGAACUAUGUGCUCAAGAAGAACUUUGUAAGUGAGAGAAAAAACCUACACCGAUUUGUCAGCCAGGUAAACUCCUGCGUCAAAACCAGGAGGUAG